CUAAUAUAUUGUGAACACAAUAGACAGUGUGGGCUCUGUAAGAUGAAUGUUUUUCUGCAUGCAAGCUGCAACUAAAAGGGCUAUUUUUCCCUUUCAUUAAUCUAGAAUAAAUAAUGGUUAUAAUAUUACAUAACUCUUGCCUUAUCUCUGGCAGUUUCUUCGUGCUGAAAUAGGAGAUUGCUGCAGUAUGCAGCACAGCUUCUCAGUGUGCUCUGUAUGAGAGACAGAAAGGGAGUCAUUCAUGCUGGAAAAUAUCUGGCAAAAUUUCAAAGUUGCUUCCCCUUUAAUAAUUCUUAAACAUGGCUAUGAUGUGUUCCUGAAAUUUUAAAUACAGUUAGAUGUACAUUUCUGUUCACUGUUAGUGAAUUAUCCUCCCACCCCACCCCCCUCCCCCCCCCCCCCCCCCCCCCCCCCCCCCCCCCCCGUAUAGCUUCCGGUGGUUCAAGACUAGUGUGAUUCUAAACGGAAGUACAGCAAAAUCUAGUUAUCAUUUCUGGAAUCUACAAAAUCCUUAGGCUGAGCAGACUUUUGUGACACAUGACUUAUGAAGCGCAAUGCAAUACACAGAACAGGAGCAACUUACCUCUGAUAGACCUGACAUGACAGGCAAGCUCUGAAGCUUUACAGAUAUUGGGAUUCAUCACAGCUGAAAAAGGACAUGCAAAUCUGAAGAUGUAAUGCAUCUAGAAAGGAAGAACACUCCUCUACAAUGUAUUUUGUCAUUGAUUCCAGAGUAUCUUCUGGUUUUGAAACUGAAGAUAAGCCUUCAAAGUUGAGUUUCCUAUUGCAAAUGGACUUUAUGCUCAGCAACCACUGGGUUACAUUUUCUUUGCCUCACCCUUCAAGGCUUGUCACACCUGAAUUGUGGAAUUAUGCAGGCCAGCUGGCAGCCCAGUCCAACACAAUGUGUGUGCCAUGCAAAGUGUUUGUUGUAACAAACCUCUGAGGUUUUGAAGGAUCCUCUUCAAGGAAUGAAGAACUGCAAAUCUUCAUAUCCCUGCCUUCCUCCAAGGAACACCCUGCUCCUUCCCUAAGAGUAGGUGAAGUGUCUCAGGUCAGGGAAGCAGUGGAAGCAUUGCAGCAAAACUGCUCAUCACCCACCGCCACUUCCUUCAGCUCUCAAAAGUGCUGCUGACUUCUCCUGAGAUGCCUGGCUGUAACAGCUGAAGGCGUAUCUCAGCCCAAGGCAGCAGCACCUCUAUGACAACAGGUAGCUUUUAGCUCCAGAUACAGCUUCUUCAGUGUUUGGGAAAGUAAAGCAGGAACUUAAUAAGGGAGCUCACAAAUGGCAUCUUUUUGUGACGGUCCAAGCCAAAAUUCUGUCUAGCAAAGCCACUGAUGUCUUUAUGUGCUUAAUAAAGUCUGUUUUAGAUCCAGUUUCUGUAACUCAAACCAUCUCCAAUUAAUCUAAACAAAUAAUCCCAGGCACAGAUCUAACUAGCUGAUUUCUGCUAUUCUUCAACACUAAUGUUCAGACACACUACUGAGAGUGAUGGGUCAACAGGAACAACAGGAAGCAACUGUGCUUUAAAAUUCCUUCUCCUGAUACCACAGGGACAAUAUAAUUUUGUUCCUCCAAAAAAAAAAAAAAAAAAAAAAAAAGAAAAUUUGUAUAUAUUAAUUCUACAGAAAUGUUCUUGUGCCUACAUAAAACCUGG
Long non-coding RNA from Cairina moschata (Muscovy duck), 1658 nucleotides. The record is from Ensembl. Lineage: Eukaryota; Metazoa; Chordata; Aves; Anseriformes; Anatidae.